This 301-nucleotide ribosomal RNA is filed under the name uncultured bacterium. RNAcentral's name for it is "partial 16S ribosomal RNA". It matches the Rfam family "Bacterial small subunit ribosomal RNA", at positions 509 to 809 of the family's 1533-position model. The record is from RNAcentral.
CAGUCGCCACGGUAAUACGAAGGGUGCAAGCGUUACUCGGAAUUACUGGGCGUAAAGCGUGUGUAGGUGGUUGUUUAAGUCUGUCGUGAAAGCCCUGGGCUCAACCUGGGAAUUGCGAUGGAUACUGGGCGACUAGAGUGCAGUAGAGGAUAGUGGAAUUUCCGGUGUAGCAGUGAAAUGCGUAGAGAUCGGAAGGAACAUCUGUGGCGAAGGCGACUAUCUGGGCCAACACUGACACUGAGACACGAAGGCGUGGGGAGCAAACAGGAUUAGAUACCCCUGUAGUCCCUGUCUCUUAUAA